CCCGGGCGCGGCCUAACCAUGCAAGUCGAGCGGUAGCACAGAGAGCUUGCUCUCGGGUGACGAGCGGCGGACGGGUGAGUAAUGUCUGGGAAACUGCCUGAUGGAGGGGGAUAACUACUGGAAACGGUAGCUAAUACCGCAUAACGUCGCAAGACCAAAGAGGGGGACCUUCGGGCCUCUUGCCAUCAGAUGUGCCCAGAUGGGAUUAGCUAGUAGGUGGGGUAAUGGCUCACCUAGGCGACGAUCCCUAGCUGGUCUGAGAGGAUGACCAGCCACACUGGAACUGAGACACGGUCCAGACUCCUACGGGAGGCAGCAGUGGGGAAUAUUGCACAAUGGGCGCAAGCCUGAUGCAGCCAUGCCGCGUGUAUGAAGAAGGCCUUCGGGUUGUAAAGUACUUUCAGCGAGGAGGAAGGCAUUGUGGUUAAUAACCGCAGUGAUUGACGUUACUCGCAGAAGAAGCACCGGCUAACUCCGUGCCAGCAGCCGCGGUAAUACGGAGGGUGCAAGCGUUAAUCGGAAUUACUGGGCGUAAAGCGCACGCAGGCGGUCUGUCAAGUCGGAUGUGAAAUCCCCGGGCUCAACCUGGGAACUGCAUUCGAAACUGGCAGGCUAGAGUCUUGUAGAGGGGGGUAGAAUUCCAGGUGUAGCGGUGAGAUGCGUAGAGAUCUGGAGGAAUACCGGUGGCGAAGGC
Molecule: ribosomal RNA, 694 nt
Filed under: Lelliottia jeotgali
Lineage: Bacteria; Pseudomonadati; Pseudomonadota; Gammaproteobacteria; Enterobacterales; Enterobacteriaceae
Description: bacterial SSU rRNA
Rfam family: Bacterial small subunit ribosomal RNA
Source: RNAcentral